CCAAAGUUCACCACUUCUUGGUCGGGCUCUUGCCCUUGCGGUCAGCAACAUGACGGUUCAUCUCCUCCAUGGAGACGUCUGCGGCAAGAGGAUCGUCAUCAUCAUCGUGCGUGGUGGUGCCGCUCUCCAACGACGAGAGAUGUAGCCGGAGAAGCGCCGGAGGAGGCGUUGCUGCUCUUUCAUGUGGCGGGCGACCUUGGCGGCCUCAUACUACCUCUCCCUCGCGAGGCGCUCGGACACCUCGAGCCCCAGGCAGAACGCCUUCGCGUUCUUGCGUCAGAGUAGCCGCGUGUUGGACACUGCCAUGGCCAGAGAGGGCGCGUGAUAUCGUGGAGAAGCGCCGCCUUCGGAUCGAUGGGGACGGAGCGUGCGCGCUGGCGGGAAGAGC
This 388-nucleotide long non-coding RNA is filed under the name Hordeum vulgare. RNAcentral's name for it is "long non-coding RNA (HVUL_LNC000547)". The record is from RNAcentral. Lineage: Eukaryota; Viridiplantae; Streptophyta; Magnoliopsida; Poales; Poaceae.